UACGUAGGGGGCGAGCGUUGUCCGGAGUUACUGGGCGUAAAGCGCACGCAGGCGGUCUGUUAAGUUUGGAGUGACAGUUGGUGGCUUAACUGCCAAAGUGCUUCGAAAACUGACAGACUUGAGGGCUUCAGAGGGACACGGAAUUCCGGGUGGAGUGGUGAAAUGCGCAGAUAUCGGGAAGAACACCCGUGGCGAAGGCGGUUCUCUGGGACGGUACUGACGCUGAGACGCGAAAGCGUGGGGAGCGAACAGG
RNAcentral lists this ribosomal RNA (253 nucleotides) under uncultured bacterium. RNAcentral's name for it is "partial 16S ribosomal RNA". It matches the Rfam family "Bacterial small subunit ribosomal RNA", at positions 524 to 776 of the family's 1533-position model. The record is from RNAcentral.